Molecule: non-coding RNA, 106 nt
Filed under: Dactyliosolen fragilissimus
Lineage: Eukaryota; Bacillariophyta; Coscinodiscophyceae; Rhizosoleniales; Rhizosoleniaceae
Source: RNAcentral
GAGAGUAAGUUGAUAACAGGAGAAGAAUAAGUAAGUUUUGCAUAAUGCCCAGAUGGUUGCUCAUUGUUAUUAUUUUUGUUUUUGUUUUUGUUUUUGUUUUUGUUUU